This 255-nucleotide ribosomal RNA is filed under the name uncultured bacterium. RNAcentral describes it as "partial 16S ribosomal RNA". It matches the Rfam family "Bacterial small subunit ribosomal RNA", at positions 524 to 776 of the family's 1533-position model. The record is from RNAcentral.
UACGUAGGCAGCGAGCGUUGUUCGGAGUUACUGGGCGUAAAGGGUGUGUAGGCGGUUGUUUAAGUUUGGUGUGAAAUCUCCCGGCUCAACUGGGGGGGUGCGCCGAAUACUGAAUGACUUCGAGUGCGGGAGAGGAAAGUGGAAUUCCUGGUGUAGCGGUGAAAUGCGUAGAUAUCGAGAGGAACACCAGAGGUGAAGACGGGUUGCUGGGCCGACACUGACGCUGAUAGCGCGAAAGCCAGGGGAGCAAACGGG